Y RNA from Callithrix jacchus (white-tufted-ear marmoset), 113 nucleotides. It matches the Rfam family "Y RNA". Rfam says of the family: Y RNAs are components of the Ro ribonucleoprotein particle (Ro RNP), in association with Ro60 and La proteins. The Y RNAs and Ro60 and La proteins are well conserved, but the function of the Ro RNP is not known. The record is from Ensembl. Lineage: Eukaryota; Metazoa; Chordata; Mammalia; Primates; Cebidae.
GGCUGGUCCGAAGGUAGUGAGUUAUCUCAAUUGCGUGUUCACAGUCAGUUACAGAUCGAAUUCCUUGUUCUACUCUUUCCCCUCUUCUCACUACUGCACUUGAAUAGUCUUUU